GUAGGUGAACCUGCGGAAGGAUCAUUACCUAGAGUUGUAGGCUUUGCCUGCUAUCUCUUACCCAUGUCUUUUAAGUACCUUCGUUUCCUCGGCGGGCUCGCCCGCCGAUUGGACAAUUUAAACCAUUUGCAGUUGCAAUCAGCGUCUGAAAAAACUUAAUAGUUACAACUUUCAACAACGGAUCUCUUGGUUCUG
RNAcentral lists this unclassified non-coding RNA (195 nucleotides) under rhizosphere metagenome. RNAcentral's name for it is "partial ribosomal RNA internal transcribed spacer region". The record is from RNAcentral.